Molecule: ribosomal RNA, 107 nt
Filed under: Hyaloscypha finlandica
Lineage: Eukaryota; Fungi; Ascomycota; Leotiomycetes; Helotiales; Hyaloscyphaceae
Description: partial 5.8S ribosomal RNA
Rfam family: 5.8S ribosomal RNA
About the family: 5.8S ribosomal RNA (5.8S rRNA) is a component of the large subunit of the eukaryotic ribosome. It is transcribed by RNA polymerase I as part of the 45S precursor that also contains 18S and 28S rRNA. Functionally, it is thought that 5.8S rRNA may be involved in ribosome translocation.
Source: RNAcentral
GAAAUGCGAUAAGUAAUGUGAAUUGCAGAAUUCAGUGAAUCAUCGAAUCUUUGAACGCACAUUGCGCCCCUUGGUAUUCCGAGGGGCAUACCUGUUCGAGCGUCAUU